This 195-nucleotide microRNA precursor is filed under the name Lotus japonicus. Its description in RNAcentral is "miR11103d stem-loop (lja-MIR11103d)". The record is from miRBase by way of RNAcentral. Lineage: Eukaryota; Viridiplantae; Streptophyta; Magnoliopsida; Fabales; Fabaceae.
UCUCCAGUGGAUUUUCCUCAAGUUUUCUCUAGUGGACAUUUGUGGCGGUUUGGAACCGCCACAAAAUGUUGGAUGCUGCCACAAAAUCUGUCAAUUUUUUGCAGCACCAUUUUGUGGCAGCUUCAAACAUUUUAUGGCGGUUCCAAACCGCCACAAAAUUCCACUGGAGAAAACAUGAGGAAAAUCCACUGGAGA